UUUUAGGGAGACCCGCUUUUGAAUUUGUGCUCAACAGUUUGCAAAAACUGAUGAGUGAAUCAAAAAACUCAAAAGUCAUCCCGAGGUCGGUCGCAAGAAUAGUGUAAGCUUUCAAACUAUAAGUCAGGUUCGGAUAUGGGCUAUUAGCUCAGGUGGUUAGAGCGCACCCCUGAUAAGGGUGAGGUCCCUGGUUCGAGUCCAGGAUGGCCCACCUGAAGUCAAUUCAAAAAUCAAACAGAAGUAAUUUUUGUUGUGAAUUGAAUUGUUGUAGGGGGGUAUAGCUCAGUUGGUAGAGCGCCUGCUUUGCAAGCAGGAUGUCAGGAGUUCGAGUCUCCUUACCUCCACCUGCGUCCCAAAGUAAUUUUGUUUCUGAUUUCACAUUGAGUGUGCUCAAGUUCCAGUAAAGGAAACAAGAGUGCACACAAGUGAGAGAAGUAAAAUUGUUAUCCAAAAAUAAAGUGGAGAAAAUUCAGCAUCUUGUGAUAGAAAGCAAGAAUGCUGGGAGAGUUUCCAGCAAAAGAACCUUGAAAACUGCAUAGAAACGCGAAAAAUGUCAGGUAGUUAACUAUCAACAACAGUUAACACUCCAAGCAAGAACAGCAAUGACUGUUUGU
RNAcentral lists this transfer RNA (614 nucleotides) under Brasilonema angustatum HA4187-MV1. RNAcentral describes it as "16S-23S ribosomal RNA intergenic spacer". The stretch from base 272 to 344 matches the Rfam family "tRNA". The record is from RNAcentral. Lineage: Bacteria; Bacillati; Cyanobacteriota; Cyanophyceae; Nostocales; Scytonemataceae.